GUCCGAGGUGGAAGCGUGGCGACACGUGGAGCUGACGGAUACUAAUCGAUCGAGGGCUUAACCUA
RNAcentral lists this ribosomal RNA (65 nucleotides) under Geobacillus stearothermophilus. Its description in RNAcentral is "partial 23S ribosomal RNA". Lineage: Bacteria; Bacillati; Bacillota; Bacilli; Caryophanales; Anoxybacillaceae. The record is from RNAcentral.